UCCGUAGGUGAACCUGCGGAGGGAUCAUUACACAAAUGAAAAUAUGAAGGCCCUUCAAACCGGCUGGAUUAUUUUUCUUCACCCUUGUCUUUUGCGCACUUGUUGUUUCCUGGGCGGGUUCGCUCGCCACCAGGACCACACCAUAAACCUUUUUGUUAAUGCAAUCAGCGUCAGUAAAAAGUAAUAAUUAUUUUACAACUUUCAACAACGGAUCUCUUGGUUCUGGCAUCGAUGAAGAACGCAGCGAAAUGCGAUACGUAGUGUGAAUUGCAGAAUUCAGUGAAUCAUCGAAUCUUUGAACGCACAUUGCGCCCUUUGGUAUUCCAAAGGGCAUGCCUGUUCGAGCGUCAUUUGUACCCUCAAGCUUUGCUUGGUGUUGGGCGUUGUUUGUCUUUGGCCUUGCCCAAAGACUCGCCUUAAAACAAUUGGCAGCCGGCCUACUGGUUUCGCAGCGCAGCACAUUUUUGCGCUUGCAAUCAGCAAAAGAGGUUGGCCAUCCAUCAAGACUACAUUUAUAC
This 518-nucleotide ribosomal RNA is filed under the name Curvularia verruculosa. RNAcentral's name for it is "eukaryotic LSU rRNA". The stretch from base 197 to 350 matches the Rfam family "5.8S ribosomal RNA". The record is from RNAcentral. Lineage: Eukaryota; Fungi; Ascomycota; Dothideomycetes; Pleosporales; Pleosporaceae.